This 508-nucleotide ribosomal RNA is filed under the name uncultured bacterium. RNAcentral's name for it is "partial 16S ribosomal RNA". It matches the Rfam family "Bacterial small subunit ribosomal RNA", at positions 30 to 523 of the family's 1533-position model. The record is from RNAcentral.
AUUGACCGCUGGCGGCAGGCCUAACACAUGCAAGUCGAGCGGCAGCGGGAAAGUAGCUUGCUACUUUUGCCGGCGAGCGGCGGACGGGUGAGUAAUGCCUGGGAAAUUGCCCAGUCGAGGGGGAUAACAGUUGGAAACGACUGCUAAUACCGCAUACGCCCUACGGGGGAAAGCAGUGGACCUUCGGGCCUUGCGCGAUUGGAUCUGCCCAGGUGGGAUUAGCUAGUUGGUGAGGUAAUGGCACACCAAGGCGACGAUCCCUAGCUGGUCUGAGAGGAUGAUCAGCUACACUGGACCUGAGACACGGUCCAGACUCCUACGGGAGGCAGCAGUGGGGAAUAUUGCACAAUGGGGGAAACCCUGAUGCAGCCAUGCCGCGUGUGCGAAGAAGGCCUUCGGGUUGUAAAGCACUUUCAGCGAGGAGGAUAGGUUGAUGCCUAAUACGUAUCAACUGUGACGUUACUCGCAGAAGAAGCACCGGCUAACUCCGUGCCAGCCGCCGCCGUAA